RNAcentral lists this ribosomal RNA (274 nucleotides) under uncultured bacterium. RNAcentral describes it as "partial 16S ribosomal RNA". It matches the Rfam family "Bacterial small subunit ribosomal RNA", at positions 523 to 796 of the family's 1533-position model. The record is from RNAcentral.
AUACGUAGGUAACAAACGUUGUCGGGAAUUAUUGGGCCUAAAGCAUCCGUAGCCUGUUCUAUAAGUUUCCGGUUAAAUCCACUAGCUCAACUAGUGGGCUGCCGAAAAUACUGUAGAACUAGGGAGUGGGAGAGGUAGACGGUAUUCGGUAGGAAGGGGUAAAAUCCUUUGAUCUAUUGAGGACCACCUGUGGCGAAGGCGGUCUACCAGAACACGUUCGACGGUGAGGGAUGAAAGCUGGGGGAGCAAACCGGAUUAGAAACCCGUGUAGUCC